UCCCUUUGUUCCAAAGUGGUUUUACAAAAUAUAGUGCCUUAAAACUCCCUUAAACGGUUGGUUUGGGUGGAUAAAGAAGAAACUUUGGGAGUAACCAAAACUCAGCAGAGAGAGCCAAUCCUUCUGUGGAACAUUUGUGGAACAUCAAUAAUGGUGGGAUGAACCAAAAGCACAGGUGCAGCUGCAGGUGGAGGAGAUUCAAACAUAUAUAAGUCUGAUGGGUCACACACAGAAGACAGUGAAGACUGAGGAACAUUUGAAGACUCUCAUUCAUCGGUAUCUCCAACAAUAGAAUGGUAAGACUCAUUUUAAUAUGGUUCUUGUCUCUGUAUGAUUGCAGGGUUGAUAUAAAAGAUACAUUUACUUAAUUUAUCAUAAUAAUCAAUAUACAGGUGUUUUUGCAUAUCUAGAACUAAAAUGAUAAGCUAUUUUAUGUCAUCAUUCAACUUGCUAUACAGUCAUAUUAAGGUGAAUAUUUUUUUUUUUUUUUGCAAAUUGCAUACUGACUUAAAUAUAAAUGUACUUCAGCAAGUGUGAGAAGCAUAACAAAAUGAUCCUAUUUAUCUGUGAUUUCACUCUCCUAUGUAUUUAAUCUACAGAUUUCAGAGCAGAGAGAGAUGAAGAGUGUUCUCUCAGUGAAGAUGUUGGCUGUGUUGCCUCUGGUUCUGUUGGUGUCCAGUGUGACUGAGGGACGGAUUAUGAGUAAAUGUGAGCUGAAGGCCAAGCUGGAGGCUGCACGAUUUCAAGACUUUAAGGUCAUGGGAGAAAAAUUGAGCACAAAAGAUCUUGUAGCUAGACGUGAGUAAUAGAGAUACUUCUCUUUCAGAUUCCCUUAUUUCUCUCUCAGUCUUCAGGAGGCUAUAUUUCCAUGUCACAUAACCAGCUAAGAGGUUCAUUACCUUCAUCCAUAUGUUUUUCUUUUCCUUUCUGAGGCAGUUGUCUGCAAGGCUAAAGCCUCUGGCUUCAACACCAACUUCAUGAAAACCAUCAGCAACUACUAUGAAGAGAACAAUCCCGAUGACGCCCCACCUCAGUCAUCCACCUCCACCUUAAGGCCUACUUCAAGGGCCACCAGCUCCACCUCAAGUACCACCUCAAAGUCUACAUCAAGUCCCACAAUAAGACCCACCACAUUUUCCACUUCAAAACCCACCACAGGCUCCACCACAAGACCAACCACAGGCUCCACCACAGGCUCCACCACAAGACCAACCACAGGCUCCACCACAAGACCAACCACAGGCUCUACCACAGGCUCCACCACAAGCCCAACCACAGGCUCCACCACAAGACCAACCACAGGCUCCACCACAAGACCAACCACAGGCUCCACCACAAGACCAACCUCAGGCUCCACCACAAGCUCCACUUCAACCCCUACCACAGGCUCCACCUCAAGCUCCACCACAAGCUCCACUUCAACACCCACCACAGGCUCCACCUCAAGCUCUACUUCAAGCUCCACUUCAACCCCUACCACAGACUCCACCACAGGCUUCACCUCUAGCUCCACCACAAGCUCCACUUCAUCCCCCACCACAGACUUCACCUCAAGCUCCACCACAAGCUCCACUUCAACCCCCACCACAGACUUCACCUCAAGCUCCACCACAAGCUCCACUUUAACCCCUACCACAGGCUCCACCUCAAGCUCCACUUCAACCCCCACAACAGACUCCACCACAGGCUCCACCUCAAGCUCUAUGACAAGCUCCACUUCAACCCCCACCACAGACUCCACCACAGGCUCCACCUCAAGCUCUACCACAAGUCCAACCACAAGACCCACCAAAGUCUCCACCUCAAGCUCUACCACAAGUCCAGCCAAAAGACCUGUCACAGGGCACCCUACAGUCUCUCCUUCAAGACCUACCCCAAGAAAUGCCUCGAACAGAGGCCGGCGUCACAUUCCUUUUUUUAACAAACCCAACGGUCCUAUCUUUAGGGAGAAGGAGCCAAAGUGGCCCUUAGUCGAACGCCUGUAUGGACUGUUUCAGCUCAGUGAUCAGUGGGCCUGUAAUUCUGACAAGGUGCCAUCUCUCAAUAUUUGCAACAUGAAAUGCACUGCUUUAAAUGGUGAUGAUGCCACAAAUGACAUUGCUUGCCUGAAGACCCUGAUGAACAGCAUGCCACCUAAACCUCUUGUGAACCCCUCUGAUUUGAAGAAGAUGUAAGUUGAAAAUAUUUUUAUGACAUCAUAAUUUUGCUAAUCAUGUCAAUACACGCUAAAUAUAAUAAAAUACAUAAAAUAUAAAUGAAAAUAAGUACAUAUUAUAGUGCAUUUUAUGGAAUGAAUAGCAUUUUGGAGGUUGUUUUGCUUAUUUAGAAAGCUGUUUGUUAAUGUUGUCAAUUAAUUACAAUCAAAAACAGCUUAUUUUAGCCAUGCCUAACAACUGUGUUAUACCAAUUUUCAAUGAUUUCCAUGGCUCUACACACCUGAAGUAUAAAAGGUCUUUUUUCCUAUUUGAGUGCAACAAUUAGCAUAGCUAUUUAAAGAUUUUAAAUAUUAGCAAAGUAACCAUAGCACUUGCUAUGGCAAAUUCCAUUUUCAACAUGUUGUGACAUGGUGAAAUAAUAAGGUGCUUGAACUGACAAAGUCAACUAGUACAUUGUGAUAAUUGGUGUUUCUCGGCAUGUGACAAACACAGAGUGAUUAAUUAUUAUAUGUCAGACAUUAUAGGCUUAAAAAAAUCUAAUCUGAAGGUUCAAAGUGUGACUGUUUUCUGUGUGUUACAGCUUGGGGACCUUGUUGGUGGAUGAGUGCCGCUCUGUUGUUCACUCAGAGUACUUUGCUGAGUGUUUUUAGAGGAAUACCCCUAUGAUUGAAUGGUAAUGGGGUCAUUGGUUGUGGAACCCGUGUGGCUCUUAACUAAGGGUGUUUGUCCAUUAAGGCACUUUAUGUUAUUGCUUUGUUAUUGCUGUGAUAUUGUAAAAUUGUUAUUUAUGUACACAUUUACAUUUUUGUCUAAACUUAAAAUUUAACAUUUGGUUCCUUGUGUCAGACUGUGCUUUUCAUUAAAAUAAUAUAAAAAAAUACAGAAGUGCUCAAAAUGCACUUUCUUUCUGCAUAUUUUUUUUUCUUCAGGAUAAUAUAUUACCAUUUGUACCCAGAAAAAAUAUAUAUAUAUUUUAAGGUCAGGAAACAGCCUAGUUUGAAGAUCAUUUAGGAAUUUUAAAUGAUUCAUUUCAAAUCCGACUUGUGC
This is a long non-coding RNA of Cyprinus carpio carpio, 3203 nucleotides long. The record is from Ensembl. Lineage: Eukaryota; Metazoa; Chordata; Actinopteri; Cypriniformes; Cyprinidae.